UAAAAUAUAUUUAAUUAGGUAGUAAAGAAAUUUCUGAAACUUAAAGAAUUUGGCGGUGUUUUAAAUAAUUGGAGGAAUCUGUUAAUUAAAUGAUAGCACACAACAUAUCUUUCCUUAUUUUUGUUUGUAUAUCGUCAUUCUUAGACAAUACUUUAAAGUAAUAGUCACAAUUUAUUAAAUCCAUCAAUUUAGAUCAAGAUGCAGCACAAUAAGGUUAUAAUGGAUUACAAUAUUAGUUAAAUAUUUAUGAAUAAGAUGAAAGAAAUUUUUCUUUGAAGGCGGAUUCAAAAGUAACUUAAAAAUAAAAUGGUUUUUUGAAUGAUAACUUAAAACAUGC
This 337-nucleotide ribosomal RNA is filed under the name Diplocentrus jaca. RNAcentral describes it as "partial 12S ribosomal RNA". The record is from RNAcentral. Lineage: Eukaryota; Metazoa; Arthropoda; Arachnida; Scorpiones; Diplocentridae.